GUUACUUUACUUGGACUUAACUCUUUUGAUGCCACUUUCCCAUUAAUUUCUGUAUUCUUGAAGGUGGCCUCGAUUAGAUUUAUCAGCUAAUAGGAAAAUUAAACUCUAUUAGUAUGUAAAGAAAGCUUUGUCGGUGAAUGGAAUCAUAUGCUUUUUGAAAAUCCACAAACAGAACACAAAAACUCUUAUUAUAUUCCCACGACUUUUCUAUAAUCAGUCUUACACUAAAAAUGUGAUCUGUUGUUGAUCUAUUGGGUCUGAAACCUCCUUAGUAAUCUCCCAAUAUCUCCUCAGCUAAUGAUUUAAUUCUACCAAGUAUAUAAUAAGACAGGAUUGUGUAGGCC
This is a non-coding RNA of Cinara cedri, 344 nucleotides long. NCBI's taxonomy places the organism in Eukaryota, Metazoa, Arthropoda, Insecta, Hemiptera, Aphididae. The record is from the annotation of a GenBank genome assembly.